RNAcentral lists this ribosomal RNA (460 nucleotides) under uncultured bacterium. RNAcentral describes it as "partial 16S ribosomal RNA". It matches the Rfam family "Bacterial small subunit ribosomal RNA", at positions 338 to 795 of the family's 1533-position model. The record is from RNAcentral.
CCUACGGGUGGCAGCAGUGAGGAAUAUUGGUCAAUGGGCGAGAGCCUGAACCAGCCAAGUCGCGUGAGGGAGGACGGCCCUACGGGUUGUAAACCUCUUUUGCCGGGGGACAAACGGCGGCACGCGUGCCGUCCUGAGGGUACCCGGAGAAAAAGCAUCGGCUAACUCCGUGCCAGCAGCCGCGGUAAUACGGAGGAUGCGAGCGUUAUCCGGAUUUAUUGGGUUUAAAGGGAGCGUAGAUGGGUUGUUAAGUCAGUUGUGAAAGUUUGCGGCUCAACCGUAAAAUUGCAAUUGAUACUGGCAGUCUUGAGUACAGUUGAGGUAGGCGGAAUUCGUGGUGUAGCGGUGAAAUGCUUAGAUAUCACGAAGAACCCCGAUUGCGAAGGCAGCUUACUAAACUGUGACUGACAUUGAUGCUCGAAAGUGUGGGUAUCAAACAGGAUUAGAUACCCCUGUAGUC